AACAUAACAUUUCAUCACCACCCCUUUCUUCAUUUCACCUUUAUCUCUUUACAAAUCCACAGCUCCCAUCUCCAUCUCUCUGUUUUAUAAACCCAGAUUAUAAUCAGAUGUCUUACUAAACCCUCAUCCGUAAAUCUUUCCAUUUCACCUUUAUACUCUUCCAGAAUCCCCAUCUCUCUACGUCUCUGUUCCACAAACCCUAGAUUAGAUAUGUUACUAAACCCUCCUCCUAAAUCUUUCUUUUUCUUCAGGGUUCAUGAUUCAGUCAUGGAAAAGUAUUUCUCCAGAGUUCAAUGAGAAUUUCAAGUUACUACCUGAAGAGAUUACAUUGGAUAUUUUGACUCGAUUACUGACUGAACCGGUGCUUGAUCGCGAAUAAGUCUGCAGAAAUUGGAGACAUCUCGUUUCUCAUCAUCCAUCAUCAGCUUCUGAUUAUUCUGGUGAGUUUCUGUAACUAAGUUGGAUGAUUAUAAUGAUAAAAUUACAGUAUUUUGAGAUUCAUGAUUAGUCAACAAUUUCAAGGAUUAAUUUCACCCCUUUGUUUCUGAUGACUCUAAUUCUUAGGCCGUGCAAUGAAUUUUUGCUUCCUGAAAUUAAGAUUCUAUCAUGUUAAUUGGGUGAUCGGAUUUGGUUACGUUUCUUCAACAGAUGAGUAUAAAGUUGUGGCAAUACUUAUGUUGAAAUCCCAGUUAAUACAGGUCCAUGUAUAUACACUAUGGAUGCAGUUCAAAAGUUCAAAUUAUUUUUCUAGGAAACAAGCGGGUGUCUUUGCCAAUGGAGCUCUUUAUUUUAUGGGCAUGGGUUGGAGGCUUGGAGCCAUAACCUUUGAUUUGUCCGAGGAGAAGUUUUGUGAACAUCUUUUGCCACCUUCUUUGACACAAUACGGCGAUUGGCGGUUGAAUUGGAUAGGGGUUUUGAAUGGUUUUAUAUUUUUUUGAUGUUUGGCUAGUUGGCAAUUAAAAAGGAAAAACAACAAUCAUGACGUGAAAGAGCAAGAGGAACAUCAAUCAUUGGUUUGGAAUAAAUAGAUUAAUGGAAGUAACUUAUUAGCCAUUACCAACAGUGGUGGUUUUUUAACUUACAGCGGUUACUAUCAAUUCCAACCAUCUCUCAGCAUAUACAACACAAAAGCUUCAACCUCGAAAACGCUUGUGGAAUUGGAGGAGGAUUUUACGGAUAUGUUUUUAAAGCAGUCCCUCACAGUAAUACUUUAGUUCUGCUGAAAGAAUUAGGAGAAGAUAAAAAGAUGAUGGAGUCGGUUACUACUGCAGUCCGCAGACAUACUUAUAAACUGGCCUACUCUGCCUUUUUUGCAACUCAGGUCUGUACAAGUUUAAGAGACGGUCACUUUUUGUGGCCUCAUUCCCCUUCAAAUUGUUUCUCUGUUGCCUUUGUAUAUCAGAUAUUCACCAAUAUGAUGCCAUUGGAACUAUUGAACCAACUAUAAAUUGAAUUCCAUAUACAAGACCGUGACCAACUCAGUAAUUUCUACGUGAGGACUAUGUUAAGAAGAUCAGAGAUCACAAUAAUUUGUUGCUGCUUUGUGCACUUGAACUCUUAGGCAUGGGCCUGCUAUUAUCUCUAUUGCUUGUCCUUUUGGCUGCUCAAACCGCGGGAUGUCAUUCCUUCAUGAUCCUGAUCUGAUGACCUUUGUCAGAGCUCACGAUUCUAUGUUGCUCUCUGUGCAUUUGAACUCUUUAAGGCAUGGGACCUCUACUCAAUGACUGCAGUCUAAAACUCAAAAUUGCUGGCAACGCCUACCAAUAUUUAUCCUGUCAAAGUCAAAGGCUAGAAUAAAUCACAAGCAAAUGGAAGAUCCUAAAGCGAGGACAAAGUUAAAGGCAAACAAAUGGGUAGUGCAAGAAGUCCACUGUCAGGUUGUUGAAACAAUUACUACCAUGUGACACAAAGACAGCGGUGGUAUGUCUACACUGCACCAAAUCUUGAAAUGUUAUAGAACAUUCAAAUUUCACCUUACAGGAAUGAACAAAAAGUGUAAGCACCAGAAAAAAGUCCUCCGGCACAAGUUUACUCUAGGUUUGAAUCGUUUUACUAUGUUGAUAUAGUAAUUUGUAAAUCAUCAGUUGCUUCCUUUAUGUUUAUUGUAAUUGCUGCUGGAUUAAUAAACUUUUGCCCCCUACAUGUUUCAUUGUUCUUGUUUUCUUGUGA
Papaver somniferum (opium poppy) is the source of this 2169-nucleotide long non-coding RNA. RefSeq lists it as uncharacterized. Lineage: Eukaryota; Viridiplantae; Streptophyta; Magnoliopsida; Ranunculales; Papaveraceae. The record is from RefSeq and is a predicted model, not a curated record. The transcript is spliced from 6 exons.